Molecule: microRNA precursor, 98 nt
Filed under: Equus caballus (horse)
Lineage: Eukaryota; Metazoa; Chordata; Mammalia; Perissodactyla; Equidae
Description: mir-544 microRNA precursor family
Rfam family: mir-544 microRNA precursor family
Source: Rfam by way of RNAcentral
AUCAUGUGGGGAUCUUGCUGAAAUGCAGGCUCUGAUUUGGUAGGUCUGGGGCAGGGGCUGAGAUUUUGCAUUUCUAGCAAACUCCCAGGUGAUGCUGA